GAGAGAAAAAAAAAUAGAAGACUAAAGGUAAGAGGGAAGGAAAGAAGGAGGGAAGGAGGGAAGGGGGGAGGAGGAGGCAGGCAGGUGGGAAAGCAAACAUAGAUACGGGUCAGCAAGUCAGAGGUAAGCAGGCAGAAAAGCAGGGAGAAAGAAAGAGAGAGAGAAAGAAAGAAAGGCAAAGGAAAGAGAUAUUAGUAGGAAGAGACACAAAUACAAGCAGGAAUGGAGUCAGAUAAGCAGGAAGAUAAGAAGGCAGCGACAGAAGCCAGCAGAAGGAGUUAUAAGCAGGCAAACAGCUACGGAAAGGAAGACUGCUUGGGUGGACAGAUAGACAGCCAGACAGAAACACGGACGGACAGACAGACAAGCACACAGACAGACAGACAGACAGACAGACAAGCAGAGAAGCAGAAUGAAGUUACAAUCAAGAUAAGGAGAGAAAAGAGCAGGAGGAAAAGCAGACAACCACUAAGGAAGACAAGCAGAUGAGCAGCGAUGUAGGAAAGAAGCAGAGGCAAGGAAGUAACAAGCAGUGCUAUGCUUGGUGGCAGUCCAGGAGAAAAAAUAAUCACUUACCAAACUAGAGUCAACAAACCCUCCAAUGAAAUGUCCAAGACUCUCCAACUAAACUCUACCAUUGAGGACACCCUGAACUGUCGUGCACUGACAUCACAGGUUCACUUGACUUACACCACUAAUGUCGUGGAAGCAACCAACUAUAUGAGCAAGUUCCCUUCCCACUAGAGAUCUGCAUCUUCUGCCUCAUUGUCCGCCUCCGCAUCUUCAUCAUCAUCGUCGUCGUCGUCAUCGUCGUCUUCGUGGUGGCGGCUGCGGUGAGCGUCAAACAUGUCAUGGUGGUCCAG
This is a long non-coding RNA of Portunus trituberculatus (swimming crab), 863 nucleotides long. RefSeq lists it as uncharacterized. The transcript is spliced from 3 exons. Lineage: Eukaryota; Metazoa; Arthropoda; Malacostraca; Decapoda; Portunidae. The record is from RefSeq and is a predicted model, not a curated record.